GAUAGUUCAGUGGUAGAAUGUCUCCUUGGCAUGGAGAAGGUCCCAGGUUUAAUUUCCAAUAUCUCCA
RNAcentral lists this transfer RNA (67 nucleotides) under Sphaerodactylus townsendi. RNAcentral describes it as "tRNA-Ala". Lineage: Eukaryota; Metazoa; Chordata; Lepidosauria; Squamata; Sphaerodactylidae. The record is from RNAcentral.